UGAGUUUGUCAUAUAUGGCCUUUAUUAUGUUGAGGAUCUUCUAUGCCUAAUUUGUUGAGAGUUUUUAUCAGGAGGGGAUGUUUACUUUUAUCUAAUGCUUUUUUCUGCAUCUAUUGAGAGGAUCAUAUCAUUUUCGUUGUUCCUUCUACUAACGUGAUAUAUCAUGUUAAUUGAUUUGCAUAUAUUGAAUGAUCUUUGCAUCCCUGAGAUAAAUCCCCCUUGAUCAUGGUGUAUUAUAUAUUCGAUGUGUUAUUGGAUUUUUGUUAGCUAGUAUUUUGUUAAGGAUAUUUGUGUCUAUAUUUGUCAGAAAUAUUAUCUGGUAGUGUUCUUUUGUUGUUGUUGUUGUGUAUUGUCUGGUUUUGUAUCAGAGUACUGCUGGCCUUGUAGAAUGAGUUAGGAAGAAUUCCCUCUUCUCCAAUUUUUUGGAAUGGUAUGAGAUGAAUUGAUGCUAGUUCUUCUUUAUAAGGUUGAUAGAAUUGAGCAAUAAAGCCAUCCAGCCCUGGGCUUUUCUUUAAUGUUUGGUGGGAAUCUUUUUAUUACAUAUGCAAUCUGUUCCUCAUUAUUGGUCUGUUAAGAUUUUCUAUUUCUUUCUGAUUCAGUCUUCAUAAGUUGUAUGUGUCCAAGAGUUUAUCCAUUUCUUCUAGGUUUUCCAGUUAGUUAGCAUAUAGUUGUUUAUAAUGGGCUCCAAUGAUCUCUUGUAUUUCUGUGGUAUCAGUUGUAACAUAUUUUUAUUUCUGAUUUUGUUUAUUUGGGUCCUCUCUCUUUUUUCCUUGGUUAAUCUAGCUAGCAGUUUAUCAAUUUUGGUUAUUUUUUCACAAAAACAACCUAUCAUUUUGAUAAUCGUUUGUAUGUUUUUUCUCUAUUUCAUUUAGCUAUGCUCUGAUCUUUAUUAUUUCUUUCCUUCUACUAAUUUUGUUUGUUUUGUUCUUGCUUUUCUAGUUCCUUGAGGUACAUUAUUAUGUCGCUUAUUUGAAAUCUUUAUACUUCUUGGUGUAGGUGUUUAUUGCUGUAAACUUCUCCUUAGCACUGCGUUUGUUAUAUUCCAUAGGUUUUGGUAUAUUGUGUUUUCAUUUUUGUUUGCUUUAAGAGUUUUUUUAUUUCUUUCUUUAUUUCUUCAUUAGUCCAGUAAUCAUUCAGGAGCAUAUUGUUUCAUUUCCAUCUAUUUAUACAGAUUCCAAAGUGCUUGUUGCUAUUGAUUUCUAGUUUUUUCCAUCAGGAUUUGAGAAAAUGCUUGAUAUGAUUUCAAGUUUUUAAAAUUUGUUGAGACUUGUUUUGUGGCCUAACAUAAAUGGUCUAUCCUGGAGAAUGUUCUGUUUUUCACCUAUUAUUAAAUAGGUUACCUAUGUCUUUACCCAUCUCUUUACAUUCUGGAAAACCCAAAAUUUGAAUAUUUGAUUGCUUUAAUGUGUCCCCUAUCCCAUGUAUGCUUUGUUUAUUCAUUUUUCCUUUUUAUUCUUUUUGAGGGGUUUUGUCUGAAUUAUUUCAAAAGGCUUGUCCUCAGUUCUUCUCCUUGAUCUAGUCUAUUGUCAAAGCUCUCAGUUUUAUUUUUUAUUUUAUUCAUUGAAUUCUUCAGUUCCAGGAUUUCUGUUUGGUUCUUUUUUUACACUAUCUAUUUCUUUGUUGAAUUUCUUACUCAUAUCCUGAUUUGUUUUCUUAAUUUCUUUGUAUUGUUUUUCUGUGUUCUCCUAUCUCACUGAACUUCUUUAAUACCAUUAUUUUGAAUUUUUUUCAGACAUUUAAUCUUUUUUUUUAAUUGGAAUCUGUUGCUGGAGAAUUAUGUUCUUUUGGAGGUAUCAUUUUUCUUUCCUUUUUCAUGUUUCUAGUAUACUUACAUUAACAUCUCCACAUCUGGUGUAACAGCCAUUUCCUACAGUUUUAGGACUAGUUUUUGUAGGGUAAGACUUUUUUCUGUACAUGUAUCAUCAUGUUGGUUUGCUUUUUCUCCUUAAUUUUAGUUUUUAUUCUGAGUGCAUACAGUAGUGAAGUCUCUAUGAUUUCUUCAGCUAUAAUUAGCAUCAGUGGGUGUCUGUGAUUUCCUCAGUGGCUUAGGCCUCAGUUGUUAGUGGAGGCUGUGGUGAGGCUUUUCUGGGGGCAGGGACACCAGGCAUCCUGAUCCUCAGGUCCCAGUGGUGGUAGCAGCAGGCCAAGCAUACCUGCCCUUGGUCCCCUGGUGGGCAUACACUGGCAUCAGUUUUAGCAGCUCUACAUGGGCCAAUUCUUAGGUCUCCGUGUGGCUUGUUUACCAGCAGUGGCAGUAGUAGGCUGGACAUAUAGAUGAGACCUUAGUCUCCUGUGUAGCAUGUAUAGCAUCAGCAAUGGUAGUAGUGAUGGCAGGCCAACCCUCAGGCUCCCAGGUAGUACACACUGCUGCUAGUGGUGAUAGCAACAGACUGGACAGGACAGGCCCUAAGCCCUCAGGUGGCAUGUGUGGGUAAGUGCCAGCAGUGGUAGUGGUGGCAGACUGGGCAGGUCCAGCCUCAGGCCAUUAGUGGAUGCGGCAGGGCAAUCCCCAGGCCCUCAGAUGGCAUACUUGAGCAUUGGGGUUGCAGUGCCAGGAAGUGCAGGCCUUUACUCAGGCCCCUCAAUGGUGCACAUGGGCACAGGGUGUGGUGGGCCAAGUCAGGCAAUCCCCAGGCCCUCAAACAAUGUGUUUGAGUGCAGGCAGUGUGUGGUUUGGGUCUGUUUAGUUAGACGCCCUGAAGGUGCAUGUGCAUGCCAGAAGCAGCAAGCAGGGCAGAUGGAUCCCCAAGCCUCCAGACAGUGCAUUCAGCCACUGUGGGAGGUACCACUAGGCAGGGAGAGCCUGUCCUCAGGCUCCCCUGUUGUACCUGUGGUUGUAGGCUCUGGUGGACAGGGCAGUCUUCAGGUCUCUGGGCAGCAUGUUUUGAUGCCAGUGGCUAAUGGCCUGAGUUUUUUUUAAUGCUUCCCAAUCGUAUAUAUAUGUACCCAGAGUGAUAGGCAGAGGGAGGUGCUCCCCAGGUAGUGUGCUGGGGCACUGGGAGGGGUUGCACCUAAAGGGACAGGCCUGUCCUCAGGCCCCCAUUGGUGCAACCAGAUGCAGACUCUGGUAGACAGGAAAGGACUAUUCCUAGGCCCCUGAACAAAAUACAUGGGAGGUGGUAGGCAGGGUGAGUCUGUCCUCAUGCCCUCGGAUAGCACCCAGGUGGACCAGUUCUCAGGCCCACUGCAGGUGGUGCAAAUACAUGGCAGCCCUGCUGUGGGGGCUGGGCAUUGCUAUCAGUGGCAGUGGCCCCAGGCAGGUGGCUCUCAGGCUCUGGGGAGUGUGUGCUUUGGCUUCCUUUACACCAGAAACAGCCUUGCCUAGUGUGCUUCCCUACAUGUUCUUUGCAGUGGAGGACAUUGUGUGGGCUAAAGUACUGGGGACCCUGCUACACCAUUGGGUCCAGCCAGCACUGUGCCACUGCAGCCCUCUUGAUGGACAUGGGGUGCUGUCAGUGGGGCUCCAGGUGUAUAGAGAUGCAUACAGUCUAAUGGUAGUUGGCCUCUCAAAAUGGCACUGUGCUUCAGUUUCUUGGGUCCUGGGGGGUGUAGGACCCAGCACAAACUCCCUCUCUGGAACAGUGCUGUUGUGUGAACUCUAGGCAGGUCCCUAUACUUAUGUCAGAAUUCAUAAGGGUUGUGGGCAUCUUACAUGGCUAGGAUUGCAAGAGUCUGUGGUGGAAAUGUGGACCACUGGGGAUUUCUCAGUUACCCUUUCCCCACACUGGAUAACCUCUUCUGGCUCCCAGCUGGUCCCAGCCAUGCCAGCUGCUUUACUUCCUUUUGCUUCUGCGCCUCAGAUGUUCGCUGUCACUUCCCUGCUAAAUUUCACUGUUCUAUCUUAGAGGCUCUUUUCAACAUGUAAUUAUCUACUCAAUGUUUAGGUCCUUCUUUGUGGAGGAGAGUUCUGGGUCAGCCAUCGUGAAGCCCUGACCUUUAUUUUUCAUGAGUUCUUUUUGUCUGUUCUUGUACUGUGUAUGUUACUGCUUUAUGUAGCUCUAUAAUAUUUUAAUGAAUAUUAUAUUAUAAUAUUUUCUUCACCCUUGUUUACCCUUUCUAAAUUUUUUGUUUUCUUGCCCCCUAUGCUUUAUUUUAGAGUGAUUAGGUAAUUUAUAUUUCCUAGAAAAUCGUCCUUAUCUCCUGUAUAUCUUCUCUUUCUUUUUUAAUUAGACUUGCCAACGGUUUGUUUUUUUGGUCUUUCUAAAGAUUUAUUGAAUUUGGAGAUUAACAGUAAAGUUGCAUAUUAAUUAGGAGAGAACCUUAAUCUUGAGAAUUUACCAUUAUGAACAUGUUGCUUCUGUAUUUACUCAAAUAUCUUUUGUCCUUCAGUAAAGUUUUAGAAACCCUCUUUCCUCCAUACAGGAAUGAAUUUAUGUCUUAAAGUUAUUGAUUAAAUGUAUAUUUUGAUUGCUAUUAUUAAUGUGUUUGCUUUACCAUUAUAGUAGGAUAUGGGCAAAACACAGUUUCUAUGUUUAUAUUAUAAUUGGCCAUCUACUAAAUUAUGUUACUGAUUUCCACAUUUUUCAAUGAUUCCUUUGGAUUUUUAUUGACAAUCACAAGAGAUUGGUAUAUCAUUUUGUCUGUCCCUUUUCAGUAUUUACAUUUCCAUUUUUGUUUUAUUAUAUUUAUUAAAAUGCCUACAACAAUAUUUUAAUGUCUUGUUCCUGCUUUGAAUUGAAAUGCACUAGAAUGUAUUUUCUGGGAUCAUUUCUAUAGCUUGUUGCCUUUCAUGUUUUACCACCAAAUAUAAAGUUGGCCAUUUGACUGAGAUAGGUAUUCUUUAUCAGAUUAACGAAAUGUUGUUGAUUCUUAAUAUACUUACUUUAUCUUUUUUAACAUGUUAGUGUGAUGAAUUAUAUCAGGGAGACAUCCUCACUUUCCUGGAAUGAAUACCAUUUAAUCAUGGGGUAUGAUUUUAGUAUUUGCCUGAAUCUAUCUGCUAAAAUUUUAUUUGGGCUUUUUACUUCCAUAGUCAUAAGUUUUAUUAAUCUAUAGUUACUGUUUUUCUGAAGUUGGGAUUAUAUAGGAUUCAUAAAAUGAGUUUAGAAAGUUUCUAUGCUUUUGUUCUUCAGAAAAUUUAGGAACAUAGAAUCAUCUUAUGUCUAUUCCUUAUCAAUUUUAACAAACUAAUUCUUGGAUAUUGGUCUCUUCAAGUUUUCACUUCUUGAGUCAAUUUAAGAAAUUUAUGUUUCCAGUGAAAUCAUCCAUUUCCUUUUCUUUCUAUCAUUACUUAUAUUACCGUUAUUAUUUUAUUUAUUGUUAAUUAAUGCUUUUUAGAGGUAUAUUUUUUAGACUUCCUUGAGGUUUGUGAACUUAGUAUUAUUAGUAUUCUAAAGAUUUAUAAUGUAUUUGAAUCUUUUCAUAUUUGUAUUUAGAAAUAAAAUAUUCUGCCAAAUAGCAAUUAUUUACUAAUCUAUUCAUGUUAUGUGUUUAGUUUUUAAUAAUUAUUUUCUAAAAUGGGGUAGAACUAAACUGCCACUACUCAUUUAGAGUUUAUGUGCUUUUCAAAGGGCUUGACUUAUCCCAGGUAAUAAACAGCUAACGUACCAACAAGCAGCACAUUGUAACAUACAGUUUGUAGAAAUGGACAAAUUGAUUGACAGCCAAAUCUUGAUUAUCAAUGAAACAGAUGUAAGGCUCCCUGGACAAUUUACAAAUAGAAAUAAUAGAGUACUUUAAUUUAGCCAUUUAUUUUAAUAUCUUCUCAACUAUUAUAACUAUGCACAACAGUGCAAAAAUCAUAGUAAAUAUGAAUAGUUUUCAUUGUCUUCCUUAUUCUCUGAUGCAUCUCCAAAUGCAUCAAGGGAAUAAAAAAGGCAGAACAAAGAAGUGGCCUGAACAACUCAAACUGUACAAUCAUUUUCUCCACAUGAUUGCCCCAAUAGAUUUGUUAUUCUAAAUUGCUGGCUAGCUAGACAUUAGGUAGCUAUCUGCUUAGCUCAUUCUACUGGAGCAUGCAAAACAGCAGUCCCCAAAACAGGGCAUGCAAGGCAGCCAGCUGUCAAACAAAAAGAUAAUAUGAGAAGUCCCAUUCCUGCUUAUUUUUACCUUAUUCUUUUUAAAUGCCUUAUUUGUAUGUAUAUCUUGUAUAAUAGCAUAGUCAUGCACCUAAAUAAUUUAUAAGUAGAUAAGUACAUAAUGUACUAGAAAAUGUCUUACUGAAAGGGAUAUAAGUUAAAAACCUUUGGAGAACUGUGGGCCAGAAGUAGAGAAUCAUGAAUUUGAAACCUGCUUUAGCCGCUUAUUAGUCAUGUGAAUUUGGUUGACUCUUUUAUAAUCUGUAAAAUGGGAGUAAGAACACCUGUCCUUCCUUCCUCACAGUGUUGUAUUGAGAACAAAAUAAAGCAACUCUAGUAGUUUGUAAAUUCUAUAAAGGCUGUGCGAAUUGUGAAUUUUUUUUUUAAGUUUUUAAAAUCUUUUCCUCAAAUGUAUUCAGUAUCCCCAUUUAAUCUUUACAGAAGACCAUAAUCGAAGUAGUGGAAAGACAUUUUACUUUCAGGAUCAAAGGAGAAAACUGUUUAAGGUUUAACAGUUCUCUCAUUCUAAAAGAGAUAUGUUUCUUUCCAACUUCUCGGAAAGUUUUGAUGGCCAGCUAUUUUAAACAAAAUAAACUUGGGAAUUAAUAAAGGAGAGCAAUUAAAAGUAAGUCUGAGAUUUAUCUGUAACUUCAGGAGAAAAGAAUUUUUACAAAAGGGAUAGAAAAAGAUAAGGUUUUAAAAAACAAGGAACUGAAAAAGGAAGACUAAAGUUUUAUAGCCUUAGGAGCCAGAAUUUUGGUAAUUAUCCAAGAAAUUUCUUAAGUAUUUCAUUGACCUGCAUACUUCCUUGAAUGAAAAUGUUGAGAUUAAUAGCUAACCUCCUGCUUGCCGCUUCUUCUAGCACUACUAUAUUUUAGGAAUCUAAUGGCAUCUACUGAUUCCACCAUGCAAUAACAGUGGGAAUUUAUUUUUCUUUGUGUUUAGAAACUCUCAGGAAUUUUUUUUUCCUUUUUCUUAUUUUUUUUU
Long non-coding RNA from Sapajus apella (tufted capuchin), 7004 nucleotides. RefSeq lists it as uncharacterized. Lineage: Eukaryota; Metazoa; Chordata; Mammalia; Primates; Cebidae. The record is from RefSeq and is a predicted model, not a curated record. The transcript is spliced from 2 exons.